This is a long non-coding RNA of Junco hyemalis (dark-eyed junco), 1723 nucleotides long. NCBI's taxonomy places the organism in Eukaryota, Metazoa, Chordata, Aves, Passeriformes, Passerellidae. The record is from Ensembl.
CCCAUCCCAGCAGGCACUGUGACACAGCACACUGAUAUCAGGCUUAAUGAACAGAAAUAAAUCCAUAUCUUUAUAACAAAGUCACUUUAACACCACACAUCUAAAAUCCAUUUUAAUAACUGCAAAAAGCCAAUAUUAUAAUGUGCAUCUAUAACAGGUGGGACACUGGGCAGUGGGAAGGGCUGCUGGUUUUGCUGCUGGGGUUCUCACACCAAAUGUGCUGAGGUUCUCACCCCAAACUUCUCCUUGCUGUGAGCAGAGCCAGUGGCAGCCCCAGCUGCAGCAGCUGCGGGACAUGGGCAUCCACGACGACGAGCUGAGCCUGCGGGCCCUGCAGGCCACAGGAGGGGACAUCCAGGCUGCCCUGGAGCUCAUCUUUGCUGGGGGGGCCCCCUAAACCUUCUGCUGGACUGGACUCUGCACGGAGAAGGGAAGAGGUGGCUCGGGGCUGGAGACGUGGCCCCUCCAGCUGUGCAGUGUUUUAUCUGUCACCACUCUCUGCCUGAAUGUUGUUUCAUUCCCUGCAUUAAAAGGGCCCUGCUCAGUUCCCUGCCUGCUGUGUGGGUCGUGCUCUGUCCUGGCUGUGCUGCAGAUCCCAGCAGGGCAGGAAGGGGAAGCAUUGCUGGCCAGGGGUUAUGGACAGAUCAUGAACAGGGCAGGACUGCUGUGGAACACAUCUCAAGCUGUUUGUUUUCCAGCAUCACUCUCAUUACAUGGUUAUGACAAUGGGAAGAUGCCAGCAGCAGAUAAAGAACUUAAUGUCACAACUCACUUUAAAAGUUUUUUGGCCAAUCACACAAAGCAAAAGCACGUUGAUAUUAGUUCUAUCCAACCACUAUAAACACAUGUACCUUCUGUUAAAACAAUGCUUGCUUAUCUUGAAUACAAUACCUGCUUGUAAGCCUUAAAACACAAUGCACAGAGCUCCAUUAUUAACCUUAGAACUUCCUCGUGUCUUGCUAGAUAAACUUUUCUGUAGUUUAGAGAGUUAUUCUAGCCAAGUGUUAAUACACAGACCAUUGUUCUAGUUGUCCUUAUUUUCUACAUCUUAUAUAACUUUUCUGCUGACAAAUCUUACGGCUCUCACUUAGCUCUAAUUGCAGUUCUGCUGUCUCUGAGCCCUGCCUUUUGCAGCUUUCCCAAAACCCUCAGAUUGCGGGAAUCCAGAAAACUCAGCCUCGGUGGGAUGUGGUGCUGUCAGCAGAGGGCACGGCCACCACGAGGUGACAGUGACAAAGAAAUGACAGGGGCUGAGUGGGAGCUGGAGAAAUGCCCGGUGUGGGUUCCUCCACGUGCAGAGCCAAUUAACGGCGUUCGCCUUUAAUUGCAAUCAGUGGGGGCAGCAAAAAGCCCGGCCUGGAGCCGGGCCCGGCAUCGCUGGGACUGCGCGCCGGGGUUAACGAGGCGUGAAAACGGCGGCGGGUUGUGGGAGCAGGGAGCGCUCUCCUGCCUCACCUCCGGGCUGCUCUGCUGCCCUCUAAUCCCCGCGCAGCGCUGUGAUCCUCGCUGAUAGCAUCGCCGUGUCACCCUGCGAGCCGGGAUUGUUCUCUGCGGGGAGCCCUGCGCUGAUAGGCGUUAAUCCUGUCGAGAGGAUUAAUGCCCGAGGGAGGCAAGGAGGGAAGGAGGGGCUGGUGUUGUGCUCAGGCUGGAGCAGAUAAGAUGUGAUGGACAUAAAUGGCUUUCCUGACACCCUCCUGGGUCCCUGCCCUCGGCACGCACACGG